GAGAUUAGCGUGUGCUGUCCUGCUUACAGGUCAAGCCCUUUACUGGCUGACCUCUCCCCUCCAACUGCUUAGCUUCCUUCCUUCCCUCUUUCUUUUGAGACCAAAAUGCUCUUGAAUUUGUGAUCCUUCUGUCUCAGCUCCCAACUCUGAGAGUUACAGAGACCUCUCCUACACCUGAUCUAAAACCCCUACUGCUCAAGGAGCAACUUGAAAACCACGAUGCUCUCCUCAGCUUUUAAAACCAUUUCAAAUCUUUUGUUUUUUUAUGUGUAUCUGUCUGCAUGAAUGUAGGACACUGAGUGCCUGUGGAGGUCAGAAGAAGGUGUUGGGCCCCUGGAGCUGAGUUACAGUGUUUUUCCUAGGACCUGGAAGGUGAAGCCAGGAGCAUGCCCAACGCUCACGCCAGCUAGCCUGGUGUCUGCAGUGGAGAAGACAAACAAACCCCCACGAAGCCUUGUCUUAAACAAGAUGGAAAGGCCAGAAAACAUCUAGAAGAAGGAGGGAAAUGGGAAAGUUCUAAGCAAAAGCCUGCAAGGCCUCUUGAGGUGAGUGACAGGUCGGGACACCCCUAUCCCAACUGGAGCUACUUACUACAAACCCACCCCGCAGCCUUUCUCCAAGGAAAAGCAGAUCGCUGAGCUUCGAAAGCCUCCAGACCUGAAGGACAGCUCUCACAGAAGGAAAAGCUGCUGCCUCGGGUGUCUACACUGUUUUUUUUGUGUUUUGAGUAUUCACACGGGGUCCUAGUCUGUGCCCGUCACGGAGGACAUAAAUCACUCAGCAAUCCCCCCGGAGAAUCGGAGAGUGUUUUGUUUUGUGGUGUCUGCUGGGCAGGUCCCUGUCUGUUUUUCUCAAGUCUUGAGCUUCUCACUAGCUUCUAGGCUGCUAAGACCACACUUCGCUGGCUGUUGCUUUCUCUGUGUGCACAGGAAAUGUCUGUAGGUCUGGCAAGUACUUCCUCCUCUCUCCACACUCCCAUUCCAAACUGUGCAUUCAAUAUUCCAGAACCUUUAACCUCCUUCUCUCUUAGCACACUCGGGGUCACAUUUUCUAUUAAGUUAAAAAGACUCCAUUUUCAAUCAGCUACCUUAGAAGGACUGUGUUUGUCUUUAAUAUCCCUACAAAUCCCAACUUAAAAACUGUAACACCACUCUUUUUUUUUCCCUCGUUGUUUCUUUGGUUGUUGUUUGUUUUUUUAAGACAGGGUUUCUCUGUGUAGC
This is a long non-coding RNA of Peromyscus leucopus (white-footed mouse), 1220 nucleotides long. RefSeq lists it as uncharacterized. Lineage: Eukaryota; Metazoa; Chordata; Mammalia; Rodentia; Cricetidae. The transcript has 4 exons. The record is from RefSeq and is a predicted model, not a curated record.